Molecule: small nucleolar RNA, 113 nt
Gene: SNORD22
Rfam family: Small nucleolar RNA SNORD22
About the family: U22 is a member of the C/D class of snoRNA which contain the C (UGAUGA) and D (CUGA) box motifs. U22 is encoded within the U22 snoRNA host gene (UHG) in mammals and has also been identified in Xenopus.
Source: Ensembl
UCUUGCUGACACUUGCUUUUGUGUCCCAGUCCCAGAGCCUGUAAAGGUGAACCCACUGGAGCUGGCUGGGGGAGAAGAGAAAGGCUUGUUCAAGAAGGAACUGUCUGAGGGAA